RNAcentral lists this ribosomal RNA (543 nucleotides) under Lasiodiplodia theobromae. RNAcentral's name for it is "eukaryotic LSU rRNA". The stretch from base 169 to 322 matches the Rfam family "5.8S ribosomal RNA". The record is from RNAcentral. Lineage: Eukaryota; Fungi; Ascomycota; Dothideomycetes; Botryosphaeriales; Botryosphaeriaceae.
UUCCGUAGGUGAACCUGCGGAAGGAUCAUUACCGAGUUUUCGGGCUUCGGCUCGACUCUCCCACCCUUUGUGAACGUACCUCUGUUGCUUUGGCGGCUCCGGCCGCCAAAGGACCUCCAAACUCCAGUCAGUAAACGCAGACGUCUGAUAAACAAGUUAAUAAACUAAAACUUUCAACAACGGAUCUCUUGGUUCUGGCAUCGAUGAAGAACGCAGCGAAAUGCGAUAAGUAAUGUGAAUUGCAGAAUUCAGUGAAUCAUCGAAUCUUUGAACGCACAUUGCGCCCCUUGGUAUUCCGGGGGGCAUGCCUGUUCGAGCGUCAUUACAACCCUCAAGCUCUGCUUGGAAUUGGGCACCGUCCUCACUGCGGACGCGCCUCAAAGACCUCGGCGGUGGCUGUUCAGCCCUCAAGCGUAGUAGAAUACACCUCGCUUUGGAGUGGUUGGCGUCGCCCGCCGGACGAACCUUCUGAACUUUUCUCAAGGUUGACCUCGGAUCAGGUAGGGAUACCCGCUGAACUUAAGCAUAUCAAUAAGCGGAGGA